Long non-coding RNA from Brassica napus (rape), 950 nucleotides. RefSeq lists it as uncharacterized. The transcript is spliced from 4 exons. NCBI's taxonomy places the organism in Eukaryota, Viridiplantae, Streptophyta, Magnoliopsida, Brassicales, Brassicaceae. The record is from RefSeq and is a predicted model, not a curated record.
ACAUUAGCUUUGAAUAAAAAAGACCAAAUUGUUUACUGACUGUUCAAUUUAACCAAGAAAAAAUGGAAGUCGGGAUCUCCGCCGACAGCUCGUCUUCAUCAAUCCUCCAAAUCUAGAAUUGACGAUCGUUUUAGGAAGCAAAUCUUCCAAGAUAGAGAUCAUUCAAACAUUCAUCCACCUCACAAUCGAUCGUGUUAACAAAAUAGUAUUAUCGAUCGGUCCAGAUCCGUUAGGCAGCUUGUGUUAACUUCAGAUAACGAAGGAAUUUUUUAGAUCGGACAACAUGAGAGAUCUCUCUCUUAACUUUGCUUCAAGACAACUAAGACAGAGAAAGAAUUAAGUAUCAAAAACUAAAGAUAAGUAUUCUUUUUGGUCAGAUGUUGCACUUACAGAAAAGUUCGCAAUAGUCUCCACUCACCAACACAUCAUUUACUCCCCAAACCUAUCAAAUAGCUUUGUUUAUAUGUUACGUUGAUUUUUUCACCCUGCAAUACAAAGACAUAAGACACGUUAAAGUCUUUAAAAUCAAGAGGUUUACGAAACAAUAUGAUUAAUUAGUCUAUGUAUUUGUUCAGUUAACCUUCUUGUCACUGAAAAUGAUUCCAGUUCACCAAAUUUUGGGUUGAAUUUCUUCCAGGUGUGGAUUGCUUUCACUUGGAUGUACCAGUUGGUUCUGUAAGGUUUCAACUCUAAAAGCUUGCAGAAAAAAAGUUAAACGUUGAAGCUUCGGUAUCGAUGGAACAUUAUUAUCAAUAUACAACGAUUUGGUACAUAUACUGUCUAAGAAAAGAAAAUCAGUGUGUUAUAGUGGGUUAUAGCAGUUGAAGUUUUUUUUAAUCAUAGCAGUUGAUAUGUAAUGAUACGUUAUGUUGUUUCGAUAGGAAGACUUCUCCACAUUAAAAGUAGGUGUUGUUUUAUAAAUAAAAAGAUUUUUUGCUGUUUAAAUAAAA